UCCACCGCUGCGUGCUCCCACCCGAAAGGUUUGGACUCACAGGGGAAGGCGAGGGGGGAGUGGGAGAAAAGGAAGAUAGGUGGAGGGGGAAGGGGGUGCUCUUUUCCUCCUCCUGCCAGCGCCAGCUGGGGCGAACUUGAGGUGGCAAACGCUAGUAAACUUUUCUUUAGAAAGUUUAGGUAGCGUGGUUAGUGACAGAGGCUCAGAGGUAGCAAGUAAUGCCGAAGUACGCUUGAGUGGGAGAUUGAGAGAUUGCAGUGUCUCAAGUCCCGAAGCGUCUGAAGAUUCAAGGCUCGCAGGUCAGGUUUGCCUACGGCCCCAGAAGCUCUGGGGCAUCGGAGACCGUGGGGAGUCCUUAGGAGACUGGCUAGACAGGGCUAGGAGUUCCACGGUUUAAGUCGGUAUGGAAGGCACUACCAGGAGACGACUCAGAGCAGUAGCGGGAGAGGCUUGUCUGCCCAGGCGGUAUUAGAUCCAAACGCCGAGGGGCCCAGUCCCCCACAUUCCCCCGCCCAGUGAAGGUUGCGUGCUCCAGGGAGCUUUGGGCAGACGCGCGGGGUUUCGCGUCGCGCGCCGGUUCUCUGAAAACCACGUGCGUCCACGGCCCUAGGCGAAGCCGUUGGGGAAAGCGCCCCCGCAGGGAAGGGGGGCCACGCAGCCAAGACUUGUUUUUUGCAGUGCCCCAGCUUGCGCGCAUCCAUGCUCCGGGCAGAACAAAGUGGCCCAACCCAACUUCUCCACCCUGCGCCCUGGGAAGGAAACGUGGUGCGCCCGCUGGAGCGCGAGGCCGCAGCAGCCGGUUCCACACAAGGCCUGGCCUGGCAUUCUGCUGUUCUUCAUUGUGUACUAAGGGAAUGCAUAAUUUAAUUAUCUCCUCCAAGUGCAACGCACCCUUUUCCUCUUUUGCUUUGGAGCCUAGGAUAUUUCGAAGGGGAAGCUUCUAAAAACUACCUAUCCUUCUAAAGCCGAGUUGGGUUCUGUAGUAACUACUGGGGGAGGGGGGGGGAUACCAAAUCGGCGAUGAGUUUACAGCCUGCAGCCAUUUAUUUAGGCUCGGUGAGCGCCAUUCCAAACCAAGCAGCUCGCGCUAUUUUGGGAGAAGUUGGGGAAUGGAGAGAAAACAAGGUUAUUUAAAGUGACUCCCAGAACGCGACUUUUAUUCCAGGACUCCUAAGUGUCUGCGUCUCGGCUUCAGGUUAGAGCGACCCAGGCGGCCCAGGUUUUGAUAUUUAUACCAGGCCAGCUCCCGGGUGAAACUACCUGUUGGGAGACUCUGCCGCUUAAACCUUCGACCCUCCUCCCCCCUGCGCAAUCCUGGCAGCAGUGGGACGGCUUUAAGGGUGGAAAGAGAAGGGGGAGAGCAGAGGAGCCAGAGCGGCGGAGAAAGUCAGCUGCGCUUGUCAGUGCCCCGCAAGCUGUGCCCGCGCCUCUGCUCCUUCUUCAGGAACUAAAAACAGCCCCCCACACUCUGUUCUCUGCCCCUGCCUGCAGGGAUGGGCCGAAACGGCGUGAUUCUCUAAGUUCGGAAACCACGAAGCGGUGUUGUUGAUGCUUGCGCCUCAUUGCGUGUCUAACUUUAAAAAACAAAAAAGCCUCCUGGCGGCUUUCUUGACUCCCGCCCCCACCUACCACUCCAACACCCAGCACUUUUCCCUGUGCCGAAAUUCACUUUACUACUUUUUUUUUUUUUGAAAUUCGGAGAACUCCGCCGACGCUUGGACGCGCUGCAACGCAGGGGCUGUCUGAAGCUGCUGCGCGAGUGACUUGAGGGAAAUCACUGUUCUUGCGCGCAAACGGAUCUCCGUAUUUUUUAAAAAAAAAAACACUUGGAUAAGGGAGCGCAGCUAGCAAGGACAAUUUGAACAGUGUGUCUACCCUGUUGUGAGAAAUUUUGGAAGCUAGGGGAGGGGGUUGGUGUUUCACACGAACCUGUGGAAAGGACAAUUCGUACUGGGCCUUGGGUCUGGAAGUUCCAUUUGAGAAGCGCAAAGCCCGGGUCUGGCGCGCGUUUAACAACCUUCUUACUAGCAAACUCUCCCCUAGAGCCCGCACAACAUUAAAUUCGGGGGUUUGGAGGCGCAGACUGGACAGGCUUACCCAGGCGCCCAAGGCACUCGGCGUUGUGUCUUUUUUGAAGGUUUCUGUAUUUUGAUAGUGAACCUUACUCCAUACUGGGAGCAGCGAAAUUUCGGAGAGGCUCUACCGCGGACCCCGUUUGAGAUCCAAGAGAACGGGGAGGCUUUUUCUGGGGAACAGCGGCACUUUCUUAGGGCAUGCACUCAUAUCUUUCACGGUCACAAAGUACCCGACUGAAAACGAAAUGGUGACAAAUAUUAGGAAGCUACGGGGAACGAGGGGGUAAGUCUAGUCUUGUUAAGGGUAGUCGUUUUAACAGCAAAGACCGCGGGGCUACGCGGAAAAAACGAGAAUUUAUUAGUGAGGCUUUAUUACGCCAGGAAGAGGGUUGAGACUUCGAGUUAAAAGACCGCUCAGAACGCUUCCCGCGCCGCAAUCCCCACACUCCCUUUUAAAAAAAUCAUCUUGGCAGUAUUAGCCUAUUCGGCCCUUUAGUCACACCCUUAUUCCUAGUCCUUAGUGGCAUUUCCCUGUGUAUCUCCUUCAGGUGCCCAGCCUUUGAGUUGCCUGGGACCUCUCGGCGUCUGGAAAAACUGGUGCAAACUUGCUCUUCGCCAAGCGUGCACCGAAGAGUGGGCUCUCCCCAGGCGGGUGUCUCUGCGGCCCCGGCGACCUUCCCGGGCCUGGGAAACCCGGCGUAUUUUCCAGCACUCAGCCUCGGAGCUCCUGCUUUAUUUCAGUUCAAUCCCAAGGGCACGGAACCAAGGAUGAUAAACAAUGCUGUUUAUUAGAGAUACAAACGGUCGCAGCAAAGAACCACGUAGAGUAAUCAAGUACAGAGGCAUUUUAACAAAUGAUCUGAUAUUCAGCACGGCCUCUGAAAAUGACUUGUACAAAGGAGGACAGGUCUCUAAAAAUACAGAAUUUCACAAAAUGCAGGUUUUGUCAAAAUAUGAUGGUUGGAGCUGUUUUUGUUUGGUUUUGCCUCAGAAGUCUGGCAGAGUUGUUGCUACCUGUCCAUGCCUCGAUGCAAACCGCCCCUUCCCGUCCAACACUUUACAUUGCAAGGCCUCGUUAAAAAAAUAAAAGAAAGAAAGACAAGAAAAUAAAAAGAAAAAAAGAGAAAAAAUAUAUAUAGACGUGAAGGAUCUUCCAGGUGUGGUGUACUCUGAUACCGUUAUCCCAGAUCUCUCAAGAAGUGAAAACACUACUUACCCUUUAGGGAGUGACAACACGAACUUUAGGAGGAGAUGCAAUUAUAACAGGCACGGCCUGAUAAUGCAGAGUUAUGAAAAAUCACACCCCCUUUUUAAAAAUGUAAACGCAGAUACCAUCUGGGUGUUGACCAUGAAAGUGGGGGUUAGGGAUUCCUGUUGGGUGCUGGUAUAACCGAUUUAUGCUCUACCCGAUGGUCUUGGGAAAGGGCUUCCCAUCUGCUCUAAACGCCCGCCUUACAAUGUCAAAAAUCUUCCUGCCUGCAAAUAUUGGCAAGAAGCUGCUAUGACAGUCGGUGCUGCUUUAAAUAGGAAGGAUACCGCCGGGGGAAAAAGAAAGUCGCGACCUUCCUACCCACCAUUCUACCUGCCUCCAGUCCUCAAAAGGCAAAGGAGUUCUAGCAAAGGAGACUCUGAGGAAGAUCUGCCUUCUGAGCAGUGUGGGAAAGAAUCAGCUGUGUUUAGGAACAAAUCUCUGAUUUUCAAGAGCUAGAGUGUACCCAAACUGGUCUCUCCAAAUCAGCUGCUAAGGGGGUUAGAAUCUGAAGUUUGCACCACCUGUGUGGGUUCACUGCACGUUGUUGUUGUUCAGAUAAAGUGAAUUGUUGCAAGAAACUUUAGAAGUGCUUUAGCUCAAUUCUUGUGCACAGUAGGUUCUUUUUAGUUUUUUUUUUUUUUUUUUCCAAAACCCAUUUAUCCAAAAGACCGCUCAUGGAUCCACGAUCUGCUUAGGGAGGGCCUGAUGUCAGAUCUGUAACUCAUGCAGAAUUCUCAUCCUAGGGAACUGGAUUGGGGCUAGCUUUAGUUUGGUCAGGGAUCCCCAUCCCUUUUUGCUCAGCAAGGUCAUCUCUCUCAGCUGGAAAUGGUGGCAGUGCCAACUGCACCCAAGGAACAACCAAAACUUUCUUUUCCCACCCCCUGCCCUAAGCUGACAAUCUUACACUGUGUUCACACAUUAUUCUUUCCCUAGCUUUCUGUACUUAGACCCAGCUCAGCUGUCUCUGGCCCUUUUGGCCCAUCCUAGAUGACAACUUCUCUUGGGAAAGUUUCUGCCUGAUGAGCUCAAGUUUGAGAGACCUCCUUUUGAAAAUACUGAAUUGUAGAAGGCACCUCGGGGGUUUUUGGUGGUAAGCAUGUUGUCUGCUUUUCAAAUCAAUUGGCCUGUGUCUUGUCAUUUUAUAGAUGAAGAAACUAAGGGUUUGGGAAAAGAUUUAAAUUAUUCAAGGGCAUGCAGGGAGCUGAGAGCAGGGUCUGCAGCAGCCCUGUGUCUCUUGACUUGAAGUCCACUUGCUCAAUUUUUAGGAAGGUGCAAUCACUAACAAUAGACUACUGUUUAGUGAGCAUCAACUGUGUGCCAGAGCACGUGCCAUGUCAGAUAUGUUACAUAAGUCAUCCUCACAGCAAUUCUGGGGGAGCCCCAUUAGCCCCAACACAAAUUUUAAAAUAAACUUAAAAAAGGAAUACAUGCACAAGUUAAAAUACUUCAAAAAAUAUGGAAGAGCAUAAAAUGAAAGUAAAAGUCUCCCACUCCACUCCCUCUCCCAGGAUGACAUUUAUACUUUUCAUUUCGGUGGCUGUCUGUGUAUCUCAUAGAUGUUAUCAUCAUUUUAUGAGCAAGUAGAGGAAGGUUCACAAUUAAGCUAAGAAGCCAUGGCUACCUGUCUCCAGGCUCAGCACUGUCAAUUACUCUACAUUAGUUAAGGUGAAUUCGGAGAAAAGAAAUGAGUUGCACCAUAGAUAAAAAAGGCAGGUCAGCUCAGAAUUGACAUUACCUCUCCUUUUCUUUCCUGCCCAAUUGAGGAUCCCACUAAUACUACAUUUUUACCAGAAACUGAAAGCAUAGACUCCUUUUGUGCAUAGAACCAUUUGUGAGGAUGUGUUGCUUCCAGGUCUUGGUGUCAUUGGACAUGUAGCCCUCCACCAUGCCCUGUUACCAGGAUCCCAGUAUUGCCUCUACCCUGUACUAGGUCUGGGACUGGGACAUGCCUCUUAAGCUUUGGAUUUCCCUGCCUCUUCUCAGCAUUGUUGGGGGAUUGCAAUGAAAGACAGGGAGAGGACUGUGUAAAUGUGAAGUCUCUAUGUAAAUAUAGCAGCUGCUUUCCAAAGGCCUCUACAGGACCCUGUGGCCCUUCAGUUCAGACAGUGGAGUUUAAGGUUCUUUGCAAAAUGGUGUGGCUUUGACAUUUGAGGGUUUGCAUAAUGUGUGCAUUUGUGUCAAUAGGGGAAGGGUUAGGAGUGUGUCUAAAUGGAAGAGGGUGCUUAUUUAUCUGCAAAAGAAGAGAGCAGUGCGUGUUUAGAAUCAGGAGAGGUAGGCAAGUGUGGAGUGGACUUCUUUCUGCUGGAGGGCAUAUAGAGCCAAGCUGGUAAGGACACAAAGAAGCAGUUAUCCUAUGUGGGAUGCACAGUGGGGGAAUAAGAGUAGCAAGGUGAGGCUGAAAGGAUGCUUACACCUACCUGUCCCUUUGCUAGGUAGCCACAAGCAAUGGCUGUUCUCAGACUUUUCAGGGCCAGGCAGAGGGAACUGAGGGGGUGACUACAAGAUGGUAUCAGCUUCCCCAAAUGAGUAAUUUAAUUUAUUAUUCCUUUGGGUGACUGAAAAGGGAAGAGAUAUUAGAGAACAGGUGGGAUAUUUCUUCUGGAAAGCUCACCUUGUCUGUGAUGGUUCUUUAUUCUUGAAGAAUUUCUGGAGACAUCCUAAAUUUAUGGGGAUUUCAUGUGAGAAUGAAUGAUAGGCCAUGAGCCUCUUAGGCUUUGCAGGGGAGGAGUAGCUGGGGAGGGGACAAUCUUGCAAGCUGCACACAUCUGAGAUUGUGGGAAAAGAGAUUCUGACCACCACUGGGGAAGAAGGAGAAAAUGGCUUUAAGAUGAUGCAGCGGGGCUGAGUUCUAGGCUGGUUCCAAAGAGAAACUGUGAAAGUAGAGAAAGGUGGCUUUUCUGUAAGGCCCAGCCAGGCUUCAGAGCACUAUUUCAAUGCCUGUCAGGACAAAGGAUGCUGCGCCCCCUGGUGUCAGACUUGAGGCCUGUGCCAGCUAGCUACAUGGAAACCCAGGGACCAGCUGGAGGAAUGGAAGGUCAGAUGCCUUUUCUUCUAUUUGCUAAGGGAGUUGAAAUUGAAAUAGUCCUUGCUUUCUCAACUCUGGAGUCUAAAUAGAGACUCUGGUGUGGAUAGAGGAGGGUUUUAUGCUUUUUUUUCAUGCAAUUUAGGCCAACAGGACAAUGUCUAUUUAGAAAUAAACCUUUGGAGUGGGAAGUACACUAUUCUGAAAGAAAAGACCUGCAUUUUGGGCAAAGUGCUGGUCUGGGGAACAUCAUUUAAAAUUUUUAGGACAUUUCUUUCUUUGUCCAAAAUCCAAAGAAUUUAGAGUAAAAUGUUGUUAAGUUCUUUUCUAAGUUCUAAUAUUGGUCUUUAUUCCUCAAUCAUUAUGCUGCACCCUUCUUUUCUCAGAGCCUCGCAAAUGUGGCUUUUUAAAAAUAUAUAUGCAGGUGCAAAUGUUAUAUAUUUUAGCAUCUUGAGUUCCUGAUUCUGAGCAAAGGUUUUCAAAAGUGCAAAAUAUACCUCUUUUCAACCCCCCAACCCCCCACUCUCCCAACCUUUUGUGGAGCCUCCUGUAAGAAAGCUGCAGAGUGAACAGGACUCCAGUCUCUGCUGUUUCUUUUAAAAAUAAAGUACUGAAGUGUUGUGCUGGAAAUUCUGCUACUAAGUGUCGCAUGUGGUAGGUGUGAAUAUAUGCUUCAAUAGUUCCAGGCACAAGACCAAAAUCUUCCCCAGAAUUAGCAGAGUUUUCAGCUAUAAUCUGGCUAUCAUUUUUCUACAAAUAGGUACAAAGACCAAUUUGGGACUAUGUUCUCUGUAAGGGGUACCUCAUCAAGUUUCCACUGAAAUUUAGGACCAGCCCUAGUACAGUCAGGUGAUUUGAGGAAGGAUCAGUUGUGGAGAAGAAUUAUGUUGAAGUUGAGAGUUUUCUUCUCCUGAAACAUUUAAGUCACAUGUCUGAGGUGAGGAAUCUGUUACAUCUCAAAGCAAAUUUUUUCUUCUGCAUUACACUUGAACUGUUAUCUCUGUGUAAUGGGUACAGUUGUUGUUGUUAAGGAAACUGAUUAUUGAUUUUGCAGAAGUGGAUGGAAUGUGCAACUUUUGUCCUAUAAUUGUGUCACCAUUCCACAUGCUGCAGGCAUGGGCUUCUUUUUUUGUACCAGGGAUUGAACCCAGGGGCACUUAACCACUGAACCACAUCCCUAGCCCUUUUUAUAAUUUCAUUUUGAGACAGGGCCUCACUAAAUUGCUUAGGGCCUUGCUAAGUUGCUGAGGAUGGCUUCGAACUUGGGAUCCUCCUGCUUUAGCCUCCCAAGCUGCUGGAAUUACAGGCAUGUGUCACCGCACCCAGCUGGUGGAGUCCUUAUAAGAAGACAUUAGGACAUAGACAUUAAUAGAGGGAAGACCAUGUGAAGAUAUAGGGAGAAGGCAACAUCUAUAAGCCAAGAAACCAACUCUGCCAACACCAUGAUCUCAGACUUGAGCCUUCAGAACUGUGAGAAAGUAAAUUCUCUUUCUUUAAACCACCAGGCUGUGGUAUUUUGUUUUGGCAGCCCCAGAAAACCAAUAUAUGCUACUACUAGGCAACAAUCAAUUAUAAGCUGCCAUUUGAGGAUGCAGACUCAAAGGCACCAGAUUUUCCAGAGUAAAAUCUUUUGUUUUCGAGUAUUUGCAGCAGGGUUAGCUUCAUGUGACCUGUGCAGUCAUAUAAGGUCCUGUAUAUAGAAGUGGCCCACUGUCAUUUUAAAGCUCUCUUGUCAUCAUCUUAAAAUUUUUAAAUUUUCAUUAAGGCACCCACUCACCUGGCCCUCAAACUAUAUAAGUAGUUACAAACUAUGUAACUAGUCCUAGUUGACAAAAAUUAUAAAUUUAAAAUAUUCUGCAUGUUAAGAUUAUGGUGGAGUCAGGCAUGGUGGCACAUGCCUAUAAUACCAGCUAAUAGGGAUGCUGAGGCAGGAGAAUCCCAAGUUUGAAUGAGAUCAGCCCAAACAACUUAGUGAGAGCCUGUCUCAAAAUAAAGUUUAAAAAUGGCUGUUUUUUUAUGGCUAGUUCAGCAGUAGAGUCUUUGUUUAGCAUAUGCAAAGCCCCAAAUUUAGUUUCUAGUACUGGAAAAUAAAAAAGAAGUUAAUAAAUUAUUACGGGGACCCCCCAAAAACAUGACUGGAACUAGAGGCAGCCUGGGACACUGCACUGAACUUUCUGUUGCUAACUGGAAUAAGAUCUCCCAUUCCACAAUAAUCACAAGGAGGGAAUUUAUGAAGCCCAGAGGUUUUUCUGGAGUGGAAGAAAGUCACAGAUAUUCCCCAGAUGUGAUUUCCUGAGAUUCUACAUACGCUAAUGUGGUCCUGGCCAAGAUUUUUUUCUCAGGGUUGAGCUCUGAGAACUUCACAAUAUGAAGAUCUCGAGGAAAGGCCAAACAUAAGGACCAAAGUAUUUGGGGUCGAAAGCUAUAUCCUGCCUGAAAAUGACUACUGCUGGAAGCUUUUGCAGGUUCAUCCACCCAACCCUGAGUUGGGUUUUGGGAAACUAGAGCUGAGGAUGCCAUCCCGUAUGACUAGCAACACCCUGAGGGACCAUAUGGCCUUCUCUAAAAGCAAGACAGAACGGCAAGAAACAACAGUGAGAAUGGAUGAAUUUGCCUCCCGGUUCCUGCCUGGAGUUUGUAAGCAGGACUUUUCUCCCUUGUGCUGAACCAGUCCUGGGAUUCUUAAGGCAUUCUCAGUUGGGGUGAGUUUGGUGGGCUGAGCUGCAGAGUACAAACUGUCAUGUCUGUUCAAGGGUCUAGGCCAUCCUGAGCACUUAAUUAUAAAUACAUGAUACCCUUCCAUUUCAUGGUGCACAACAUCCCAGUCAAUUCCAAUUCAGACAAGAGAGAUUUUUUCCCCUGGUGAAAGAAACGCCAGUCAUCAGUAAAUAGUCACUGGGAUAUAUGAUGGGGAAGUCCUAUUUUUAAGAAUAUGCAUUGAUUUAUAGAAUCUCACUGAAAAUAUUAUAGCGGAAUGUUUGGUCAGGAGGUCUGCUUUUCUAGUUCUAUUUCUGCCCAGCACUGACUAACUGGAGAGUGUAAAUUUUAAAAGAAGUAAUUUCUUAUGCACGCUAUGCAAACUCCCUUAGGGGAAUGAGUGAAAGACUGUUUGAGACACUGUGCAUUUCUUGGAAGAAAGUUGCUAUAUAAAUUAAUAUAGAGCCCUCUUUUUCAUUGCAGGCCUGCAAGACACACCAAAAGACUCCCGCAAGUCGUGUAAGGGAGAAAACGAAACACUCCACUGGCCUCUAUCAGGGGAAGUUAAUUUUUCCCCUUUUCUGCACAUUUUCAAAACUCUAUAACUCUAAUUUGCAGUACAGAAAAUAAGCUUUUAUAUUUAUUAUUUUUUAUGCUUUGGAUAUAGAGUAUUCCCAAAGGAACAAUGUGUUGUGCUAAGAGUUGUGAGCCUAUUGUGGGAAAGGCUGAGAUUAAGUUACUGCAAGAAGAAGUUCAUUUACACCUGCUUGGUGAUCUAGGAGCCCCAGGUCAGAGCAGCACCUACUUUCUUCCUCCCCACCAGGAAAGAGCAGAGUUGGGGGUGGUGAUCCCAAAAUUAAGACGUUUGGAAUUCUAUAUGUAGCUUUUCUAAGUCCUAAAUGACAAUUCCCUUAAUCAUUUGGAAUAUAAGAAACUUGGCUAAAGGUUUUAGCUUAAAGCCAUUAAUUUAAAAGAAAUGAAAACAUAGGUCUACAUAGAAACUUGUACAUGGAUGUUCACAGCAGAAUUUUCACAAUAGCCAAGAAAGGAAAAGAAUUCAAAUGUCUGUUAACUAAUGAAUGCAAAAGCAUAAUGUGGUACAUCCAUAAAAUGGAAUAUGUAACUAUUCAGCAAUAAAAAGAAAUGAAAUAUUGAUACAUUCAACAACAUGGAGGAACUGUAAAACAUCGUGCUAAUAAGCAAAUUACAAAUGAACACAUGUUGUAUGAUUCUGUAAUUGCAUGAUUCCAUAAUGGAAUUGUACAACAUGUAUUUGUGAUUAGUAUACAUAUCUAUAGAAACAGAAAGCAGACUAGUGGUUGGCUAGGUCUUGGGAAGAAAUAGGGGACAUUGGAGAGUGACAGCAAAGUGGUGCAGAGUUUCUUUGUGGGAUGAUAGAAAUGUUCUAAAAUUAAUUGAGGUGGCAGUUGUAUCACUUGGUGAAUGCAUUCAAAACCACUGAGUCUUGCUGUAAGAGUGAGUCCUAUGAUGUGUGAAUUAUAUCUCAAUAAAGACAUGAAAAGAUUUUUUAAAAAAUGAUACUUAAAAAAAAUAUCCACUGGUUUAUCUCUCUUUCUGAAGCUGAUCACUUUAGAAAAUGUGUUCAAAAUAAAAACAGAUUUUUAUGGGAUAACUGAAAUCAGAAUGUGAAAAAGUGAUUUUUUUCUUAGGUGGGAAGAUUAAUUUGCAUGUCCAUGUGUACUCAAAAUACCUGUACCUGUAAUUCUUUUGAACUUUGCUGAAAAUUUUUUCCUUAGCCUGCAAUCAUUAAAAUAUGUUUAAG
This 10829-nucleotide long non-coding RNA is filed under the name Marmota monax (woodchuck). The record is from RNAcentral. Lineage: Eukaryota; Metazoa; Chordata; Mammalia; Rodentia; Sciuridae.